GGGGCUGUUUGGUUUUGACAGCGGGUAGAAGAGGUAUGUAAGCACGCAGUGCAUUGUCGGAUAGCACUUUAAUCAUAGACGGCAAAACAUAACUGGCGAAAAUUCUUACGCUCUCGCUGCCUGAUUGAAUAAUAGUAGAUCUGGCUUCAUUACGGCACAGGUGUCGUAACGGGACAUCUCUCAAAUGCCUUGCCCUGAGGCGGUUUGGUUAAGAGGUGUGGGUAAAAUCGGGGAUAGUCGUUGAUUGCCUCGCAUUAACGAUGAAAAUUUAGAGGAUAAGGCAACUGUUGGUAGCUUCGGUCUUGCAUCUGCUCGAAAAUUUAAGCGAAGAUAAGCGUGUAGAAGGCAUAUUGUUUCCUCGUUUGGACACGGGUUCGAAUCCCGUCAGCUCCACAU
This 396-nucleotide transfer-messenger RNA is filed under the name Prevotellaceae bacterium. It matches the Rfam family "transfer-messenger RNA". From Rfam's summary of the family: Bacterial tmRNA, also known as 10Sa RNA or SsrA, is named for its dual tRNA and mRNA-like properties. The record is from RNAcentral. Lineage: Bacteria; Pseudomonadati; Bacteroidota; Bacteroidia; Bacteroidales; Prevotellaceae.